RNAcentral lists this long non-coding RNA (1253 nucleotides) under Macaca mulatta (Rhesus monkey). Its description in RNAcentral is "lncRNA (ENSMMUG00000060764.1)". The record is from RNAcentral. Lineage: Eukaryota; Metazoa; Chordata; Mammalia; Primates; Cercopithecidae.
AUCCCUCAGACCCAGUGCUCCAGACCCCCAACCCCUCCUCCCUCAGACUCAGAGGUCCAGGCACCCAACCCCUCCUUCCCCAGACCCAGAGGUCCAGGCUCCAGGCCCUCCUCCCUCAGACCCAGCCUUCCAAAGCCACCUAGACUCUCCCUGUACACAGUGCCCCCUUGUGGCAAGAUGUUGACCCAACCUUACCAGUGUUAGAGUUGGUUUUUCAUUUUUUGUCCCUUUCCCCAGAUCCAGAAAUAAAGUCUAAGAGAAGCGCAGGUUCUGUUUGUAGUGUCCUCCUUGCUUCCCCUUCCAUUCAAGAGAUUCCAGCAAAUGGCUUUUCCUCCAUGGGUCUCAGUUUCCCUAUCUGGGAAAUGGGAGCUUUGACCAGGAGGGCCACGGGGUUUCAGAGGGAGGGGCCAUUCCCUGGGUAGUUAAGAGAAACCAGUGCCAUGGCUGUUGUCCAGUUUCUGAAAAGUCAAGUCAGCAAAUGGUAACUGUAGAGAUUUUCUUGCUUAGUUUAACGAUUCAGCUUCAGUUGAUCUAUAUUUGUUUUUGUCUUCUUAACUGCAUUUCAAGAAUUUUUAACUUGCAUCUGUCUCAGGACUUGGCUGCUGCAGCUGGAGGCUGGAUAGACAUGAACUUGAUCAGUAAUUGUGCCUCAGAUGGUUCUACAAGCAGCCUGGAGGGGUUGCCUCUAAUAACAAAAUGGUGACACCUGGGCCCCUGCAGCACUCCUUGCUCUGAGGAAAAGACAGACAGUUCAGGUCAACUCCAUAGGAUGAUGUCAGACCUCAGUUAGUUGGAUAGAAACAUGUCCAAUCACAGGGAGCAGGCGGGAGGCCCCAGUGGUAGGAAGGGCAGGCCUCUCUCUGUGUUAUACGGACAACUAGUCCCAACGACUUUUCAUGAUUAUCCAGGCAAUGUUUUAUAAAGGUCAGGCGGGAGACUGGCAAGGCGUGUUUUCUGGUCACAACCCUGCUGACCAAAACAAGUUCAGACAGGACAAAAUGUUAAAAAAGAAAAAAAAAAAAACCCAGCAGGAAUGACCAGAUGAAGACAAAAGUGAUCCCUAUCUGCUGUCAUUGCUCAUUGGUAUAGAACACCCUCACCAGUGCCAUGACAGUUUACAAAUGCCACGGCAAUGACCCAAAAAUUACUUCCCCUUUCCAUGGCAAUGACCCAGAAGUUACUUCCCCUUUCCAUGGCAAUGACCCAGAAGUUAACUCCCCUUUUCAUGGCAGUGACCUGGAAGUUACUGCUCC